CAACACAGCACAGCACCCAUGACCACCUUCCUAGGCGUGUUUUAGGGCAGCAAAGCAUUUAAAAUCUGUCUUCUGCCUCUCACAUCAUGGAGUUUGGCGUGCACACCUCAUCCAGAUUUACACUCCUCAUUUUACUAGCACAUCAGGCCUGGGACAUACCCUCUGGCAGAGACAUAUGGAAUGUCAAAACUGAAGCUUUGGAAUUGUCUAACUUGUUUCCCAGACAAGUCUCACAUGCAACCUUGUUCCCAUCUUGCUAACCACCAGUCUUCCUCCACCUUAUCCUUUGCUGGAAGUGUAAGAACAUCUUGUGUGUGUGUGUAUAUAUAGCUAAAUAGAUGCUGAAGCCUUCAAAAUGGUCUGUUGGCUUGGAAGAGGAUAGGAGAGCCAGAGUUUUUUUCUUGCAUCCUCUCAGUAACGAGCAUUUGAUUAGAAUGUUCUUGGUGCCUCCCUUUUAUUCUAUCCAGCAAAUAAAGUCUCUUUGAAAAUGUC
Long non-coding RNA from Coturnix japonica (Japanese quail), 492 nucleotides. RefSeq lists it as uncharacterized. NCBI's taxonomy places the organism in Eukaryota, Metazoa, Chordata, Aves, Galliformes, Phasianidae. The record is from RefSeq and is a predicted model, not a curated record.